Molecule: regulatory RNA element, 47 nt
Organism: Gasterosteus aculeatus (three-spined stickleback)
Lineage: Eukaryota; Metazoa; Chordata; Actinopteri; Perciformes; Gasterosteidae
Rfam family: Histone 3' UTR stem-loop
About the family: The mRNAs of metazoan histone genes lack a poly-A tail. 3' end processing occurs at a site between a highly conserved stem-loop (modelled by this family) and a purine rich region around 20 nts downstream (the histone downstream element, or HDE).
Source: Rfam
UAAAAGGCUCUUUUAAGAGCCACCCAACCCUUCCUCAAAGAGCUUUU